Molecule: long non-coding RNA, 530 nt
Filed under: Brassica napus (rape)
Lineage: Eukaryota; Viridiplantae; Streptophyta; Magnoliopsida; Brassicales; Brassicaceae
Description: long non-coding RNA (BNAP_LNC007666)
Source: RNAcentral
UUGUGAUUUCAGUUUGAGAUGGUUACCAUCAAAUCAAAUAUAAACACAAAGAAUUAUACUUUGUUUUGCUAUUCUGAAGAUUGUUAUUUCAUCCGUUUAAUUUUUAUAGGUAAAAUAAAAAUAUAUAGUAUAAUUAUAUUUAUUUUUAAUAUGCUAUGGAAUUUUGUUUAGUUAGUUUAUAGACUAAAAUCAUAAAGAUGAAAAGAAAAUAUUACUUAAAAGACCAAUUUAAAACAUAAAACAAACCAAAAGUAGUGGCCUGGUAAUGCAAGAGACUAUAUAUUUUUAUGGGCAAUUCUCUCAAAUAUAUUUUUGUAAGUUUUUGUCACAAAAAUAGACUUCAAAAACUACAAUGAUCAAAAUAGCAUUUUUAUUUUGAAAAAUUUAAUUUUUAAUUUUUUAAAUUUGAAAUACUAUCCUCAAAACCCCCACUCCUCAACUCCAAACCCUAAACUCUAAACCCUAAACCCUAAACCUUAAACCCUAAACCCCACCCCUUAACUCUAAACCCUAAUGUCUAAAUUAAUUAA